AGCUCAGUGCGCGUGCGCCCCACAGGCGCGCCUUCGCGAGAGAGGUGUACUUCCGGCCGGAGAGGGAGGAGGGGUAAUUGACUCCCGCCUCCGAAGUCCCCCGUCCCCCCACUAAAUGUUGGGUGUUCGGGCCUUAAGUGAGGAAAAAGCCUCCUCUGCGGCGACUUCCCCGGGAAGGCCGCCCCGGUUCCGGUUUGGGUGGCGCGGUCCGCGCUAGUUUCUGCCGGCGUCUGCAGCGGAAGCACAAACCCGCCCCCCACCCCCAGUCUUAACGCGAUCCCGCACUGGUCGGUUUCAGUUUUGCGCUUGGUAAUGGCAGGGUUGAAGAGCUUUAAUUACACUUGUUUAUUGGAGUCAGAAUGCUUUCGUCCUUCUCGAUCCCCACAAGGGCUCCGAGGAGAGUCAGUCAUCUAGACUCUGCGGGGCCCGGGCCUCCCAGCGCCUUCAGGCCCGGAGAGGCGAGGCCCCGGCUCCAGGUGACACGGGGGCGGGCUUAGGUCUGGCUCCCGCGAAACCCGCAGUCUCUUUCCCUUCUGUUUCACCAAACUCUGGUGGGGAAAAAGAGAGAUGCAAAUUAGGGAGCCGAAGACCCGCUUUGAGAGCUGACGAGGAAUUCGUGUCCAAGAAAGUAAUAUCUCUCCCAUUAAUGUGUGGUGUUCAAGCGACACUAAAGGCGGAGGUAACCGGCUAAGGCCAGUCUGGCUGGUUUCCCUCCACCCUGGGUGUGGCCCCGUGUACCCCUAGGAGAUAACCCGAGGAGCGUGAGUAAGGCAGGGAGGGGCGUUGGGAUCUCGGGGAUACGUGGCCCGGUGUCUGAGUCACAGAGACGGGGAUGUAAAUACGCAAAUGGCUGUUUGUGGCGUAAUAACCAAUCUCAGUAAGGAGUGGUCUAAAGAUUUGCACAUUAACACAAAUUAGCUAGAUAUCACUUAGAAAAGUCAUCAAAUCACAACAUUUCUAAGCAUAAUAUUAAAAAACUGUGUCGAUGACCUUGCACUAUAGACAGGUAUAUUGAGGAGUUAAAUGACACCUUGACAGUCUUGAGUGAACUAAAACUUUACUCACAAUGAAUCUGAACUUGUUUCAGCAACUAGCAUCUUCUCCUGAGUCAUACGUGUUGGUGGGGAGAAUAAACUAGAAUGGAGAUCACCUGACUGAUAGGAUGACUUAGUUCAGAGUUCCAGCAAUUGCCAGAACCAAGUGAGUCAUACAGCUUCCUGGUUUAAUGUUUUCCCAAAGUGGGACCUUCGGUGACCGCCACAAAGCAAAACGUUUUCAGAAGGAUGACAGGUGCUGUCCUUGUAAAACAAGAGAUUAUCUCCAUUUGACUUUGGCAGUGAACUUUGAUAUCACUUGAAGCUGGUUGAACUCUUAAACUCCAGGAUUCUUCACUCAGAGCCCGACCUGUCACCCUUCUAGCUUUCUUUCUACCUUGUUUCUACUACAUCUGCUGGGUAAACUUUCUAAGACCUCCAGUUCCCCAGUUUUCUGUUGUCUCCCCUCAACUGUUGGUUCUUUUCUUUAAUGGAUUGUGCUUUUCCUGCUAAGAACUCUUCAUCCAGCCCAAAGAUUUUCUCCUGUGUUGUCUCUACACCUAAACCUAAAAUCCAUAUCAAAUUAGUUACUUUUGUAUAAGGUGUCAAGUUUAAAUUGAGGUGUUUUUUUUUGUUGUUGUUGUUGUUUUUUUUUUUUUUGCUUUUGGAUGUCCCGUCGCUCCAGCACGGUGGAAACACUAUGCUUCCUCCACUGAAUUGCUUUAGCAUCAGUUUCAGAAAUCAAUUGGUUAGGUAUGUAUGGAUCUGUUUUAGUUAUUGUGGUCUUUUUAAGGGUUGCAUUUGCUUUUUCUUCAAAAAUAUUCUAUUUAUUUAUUUUGAGAGAGAGGGAGUGUGAGCAGGGAUGGGGCAAAGAGAAAGAGAGAAUCCCAAACAGGCUUUGCACUGCCAGCACGGAGCCCAACGUGGAGGCCGAUCCCACAAAUCCAAGCUGAAAUUCAAGAGCCAGACAAAAUCAAUGACCCAAGACAAAAUCAAGAACCAGAUGCCCAACUGACUGAGCCACCCAGGCACCUCAAGGAUCCCAUUUUCUUUUUUCUUUUUUAAUUUUUUUAAU
Leopardus geoffroyi (Geoffroy's cat) is the source of this 2109-nucleotide long non-coding RNA. RefSeq lists it as uncharacterized. The transcript is spliced from 3 exons. The record is from RefSeq and is a predicted model, not a curated record. NCBI's taxonomy places the organism in Eukaryota, Metazoa, Chordata, Mammalia, Carnivora, Felidae.